RNAcentral lists this ribosomal RNA (491 nucleotides) under uncultured Cryptophyta. RNAcentral describes it as "bacterial SSU rRNA". It matches the Rfam family "Bacterial small subunit ribosomal RNA", at positions 397 to 902 of the family's 1533-position model. Lineage: Eukaryota; Cryptophyceae. The record is from RNAcentral.
CCGCGUGAGGGAUGACGGCCUGUGGGUUGUAAACCUCUUUUCUCAAGGAAGAAGUUCUGACGGUACUUGAGGAAUAAGCAUCGGCUAACUCUGUGCCAGCAGCCGCGGUAAUACAGAGGAUGCAAGCGUUAUCCGGAAUCACUGGGCAUAAAGCGUCUGUAGGUGGUUUAGUAAGUCUGCUGUUAAAGACUGGGGCUCAACCCCAGAAAAGCAGUGGAAACUGCUAGACUUGAGUGUGGUAGAGGUAGAGGGAAUUCCUAGUGUAGCGGUGAAAUGCGUAGAUAUUAGGAAGAACACCAAUGGCGAAGGCACUCUACUGGGCCAUAACUGACACUGAGAGACGACAGCUAGGGGAGCAAAUGGGAUUAGAUACCCCAGUAGUCCUAGCCGUAAACGAUGGAUACUAGAUGUUGCACGUAUUAACCCGUGCAGUAUCGUAGCUAAGGCGUUAAGUAUCCCGCCUGGGAAGUACGCUCGCAAGAGUGAAACUC